UACGUAGGGUGCAAGCGUUAAUCGGAAUUACUGGGCGUAAAGCGUGCGCAGGCGGCUUUGCAAGACAGAUGUGAAAUCCCCGGGCUCAACCUGGGAACUGCAUUUGUGACUGCAUGGCUGGAGUGCGGCAGAGGGGGAUGGAAUUCCGCGUGUAGCAGUGAAAUGCGUAGAUAUGUGGAGGAACACCGAUGGCGAAGGCAAUCCCCUGGGCCUGCACUGACGCUCAUGCACGAAAGCGUGGGGAGCAAACAGG
This 253-nucleotide ribosomal RNA is filed under the name uncultured bacterium. Its description in RNAcentral is "partial 16S ribosomal RNA". It matches the Rfam family "Bacterial small subunit ribosomal RNA", at positions 524 to 776 of the family's 1533-position model. The record is from RNAcentral.